AAUUUCUUUCCCUGCUUUUAUAUUAAAUUUUAGAGAAGUUUUUUACUUGAACUGCUGAUAUUGUCAUCAUAAAAACAGUGAUAAUCUUAGUGCAUUAGUAUCGAGAUUUGAAUGGACUUUAGUAUAAAGGUGCCCAUAAAUUAUUCAUCAGAUUAAGAAUUGUAAUAAACUGAAAAGAUAUUAAAAAAAUAUUUAUUGCAUUUUAUUCUAUAAUUCAAAGAAUUUUUGAUACUUGCUAUUUAUAAUGACCUUGGCAAGAAAGGGGAAUGAGCACAUUUCUGCCUUGGCGAGAAACAAAUGUUUACUGAUACUCAUAAGUGAUAUAUGUAUUGGUGCACUUCGCUUUCUUGCCGCGGCCGCUAUGGCGAGAAAAGAGAAUUGACGCAUUUCCUUUUUAGUGAAACAAUUACUGAUAAACACAAGCAAUGUGUGUAUCAGUACAGAUUGAUAAUCCUGUGGUUACUUAUCUACACACAUACAUGUGCAGAUUGUUUUCUCACCAAAGCUGCUAUAAAAGAGAAGUACCGGUACCGAUAUUUUUUUUUUUUUUUUUCAAAUGUUAAGACCAUGACAAUUCUUCAGAACACUUCCAC
RNAcentral lists this long non-coding RNA (593 nucleotides) under Androctonus crassicauda. Lineage: Eukaryota; Metazoa; Arthropoda; Arachnida; Scorpiones; Buthidae. The record is from RNAcentral.